This is a ribosomal RNA of Nicotiana attenuata, 135 nucleotides long. It matches the Rfam family "5.8S ribosomal RNA". Rfam says of the family: 5.8S ribosomal RNA (5.8S rRNA) is a component of the large subunit of the eukaryotic ribosome. It is transcribed by RNA polymerase I as part of the 45S precursor that also contains 18S and 28S rRNA. The record is from Rfam. NCBI's taxonomy places the organism in Eukaryota, Viridiplantae, Streptophyta, Magnoliopsida, Solanales, Solanaceae.
GACUCUUGGAAACCGAUAUCUCGGCUCUUGCAUUGAUGAACAACGUAGCGAAAUACGAUAUUUAGUGUGAAGUGUAGUAUCUCGUAACCUAUAGGUCAAAGAUUCGAGCCGUAUAAUCAGCCACUGACAGGGGCG